CACGUAGGGCGCGAGCGUUGUCCGGAAUUAUUGGGCGUAAAGAGCUCGUAGGCGGCCUGUUGCGUCCGCUGUGAAAGCCCGGGGCUUAACCCCGGGUCGGCAGUGGAUACGGGCAGGCUAGAGGUAGGUAGGGGAGAAUGGAAUUCCCGGUGUAGCGGUGAAAUGCGUAGAGAUCCGGAAGAACACCGGUGGCGAAGGCGGCCUGCUGGGGUCUUGGCUGACGCUGAAGCGCGACAGCGUGGGGAGCAAACAGG
This 254-nucleotide ribosomal RNA is filed under the name uncultured bacterium. RNAcentral's name for it is "partial 16S ribosomal RNA". It matches the Rfam family "Bacterial small subunit ribosomal RNA", at positions 524 to 776 of the family's 1533-position model. The record is from RNAcentral.